This 253-nucleotide ribosomal RNA is filed under the name uncultured bacterium. RNAcentral's name for it is "partial 16S ribosomal RNA". It matches the Rfam family "Bacterial small subunit ribosomal RNA", at positions 524 to 776 of the family's 1533-position model. The record is from RNAcentral.
UACGAAGGGGGCUAGCGUUGCUCGGAAUCACUGGGCGUAAAGGGCGCGUAGGCGGCCAUUCAAGUCAGAGGUGAAAGCCCAAGGCUCAACCUUGGAACUGCCUUUGAUACUGUUUGGCUUGAGACCGGUAGAGGUAAGUGGAACUGCGAGUGUAGAGGUGAAAUUCGUAGAUAUUCGCAAGAACACCAGUGGCGAAGGCGGCUUACUGGACCGGUUCUGACGCUGAGGUGCGAAAGCGUGGGGAGCAAACAGG